UUAAUUAUUAGGUUUUGAAAAACAUUUAUGUUGGUUGUGUGCAUUCGUGCAUUUUUCCGUUUAGUCUGUGGAAAGAAAACAUUUCCAUCUUCUACUAAACAGAAAAUGCUUCCAGCUUUUUUGCAGUGCUCAUUCUUCUUUGCAAAGUGCCUUCAGUGGAAUCAGGUAUUCGGGAUGGCUAUGGUUUUGUACGGCAACUGUGUUUUUGGGCAAAGAUUUCAUAUAUAAAUAUUUCAACGUUAGCUUGCGAUAUUGAAGUUUUAUGUAGAUUCCAUUGUCAAUGUGAAUGGGAUCGCUAUAAUAGCCUUCCACAAUCAGCGAUUAGGAGAAAUUGUUAGCAUCAUAGUGCUGGAAGGUUGAAGAAUGGUCUAGCCAUUUCAGCGGACAGUUAAGCACCAUGUGAAUUAAAGAUUUAAGACCUUUUCGGUGGAUGCUGUUCAGUUAUUUAUUUUUGUCAAAGUUGGCAAUACCUCAUGCAUCAAGCAUAAUUGAAAUCUGUAUGACACAAUCUGUUGCUGCUUCCGAAGGUGAUGUACUGGUCACAAAUGGCCUUGCUAUUAAAAACAACACAGGCAGCAGACCAAAACCACCAAUUGCACAUGUCGAUCUCAUUGAUAGCCACGGACAAAUGACUAUAGCAGUCAACAUCAACAAUAAACUAAUAGACAUUUUUGCCCCAAUUAUUCCUUGGUGCAAGUGUGCAUUUAAAGGAAUUCACUGUAAAGAAAAAAAGCCAAUAUGAAAGAGGAGAUGCUGAUUAUUGUCUACAACUGACUGCUAAAACAAUGAUUGAAAGUAUUGAUAAAGUAUGCAAGCAACAAAAGCUAACACCUGACACAACCAUAUCACAACUAAUCCACUCAACGGAUAGCUAUUCGUUUGGAACAGUAGGUGUACUUGUAACAGCUCACAAACAAGAGCCAACCGAAUUUCAAGUCCAAGUUAAAGAUGGAGAAUUACCAUCUGAUACAGCCACUCUGACAGUUCCAAAAAUUCAUACCAAUUCCUAUGCAACCCUGGAAAAACUCCUCACUCCAACAAAAUCAAAGUUUCUUCUACUUAAAAAUGUCAUUCGCAAUGGCACUAGAGGAGCAAGUAACAUAAAAUCAAGUUUGUCCACCUUCAUUGGUGAAUUGAAUGACGAAUGUACCAAAUCUUCUCUGCAAACACUUGGUUCAUCAAAUACCCAGGUUGCUGGAAUCUUGAGGACAAAAAUGUCUAUCUACCACCAUUUCAACCACUUUGCAACAUAUGCCAUCACAUAGUCUCUACGGCUCACAUUUCUACCAACAACAUAUCCCACUGCACAACAUGUGCAUCAACGACAACUUUUUCAUACCAACCCUUUUGCAAUGCACAAUUGAGACUAAAAAUGCAAAUAUUGACUGCAACUUACACAACAAACUUUUGCAAUAUAACUUUCUUGAACUUACAAAGAUACCAUUUGAACAUUAUGAGGAAGGCACUUCUAGACUAAUCUACCUGAUGUGAAAGUUUGACAUCCAAGGAACAUUGACACUUGCCAUGGACAAUUCCAUCAUUGCCAUUGCAAAAGAGGCCAGCAGUAGUCUAUAAAAGAAGUCUGCGUUUUCCAAGAAAAUUUUGGUCCACUACACUGUACUCUUAAGGUUCGUAAAAGAGAAGUUGAAAACAAGCAAAAGUUGGUUCAACUACCGGAUAGCUCAAAAUACUAUUCACAUACCUAUAAUUUUCAAAGAAACAUCGAUCUUAUUUUUGUUUUGUAAAUAACUAGUUAAAUAUCUUUCACAACAAACAUUCGAUAUUAUCCUUACUUUUUGUAAAUGCAAAUUUUGUGCACUCUUCAGAUACAUUCAUAACACAUUGUAUUAGACAUCAUACUUUCCAAACUUUCACUUUACUCUAGUUUUGAAAAGUUGUUCUUAGAGCACUGCAACCACUUAUCAUUUUUGCAACGAAUUUCACUUGUAAACUGUUUUUGAAAUUAUAUUAUAUGGAAAGAAAAAGUUUAUCA
Molecule: long non-coding RNA, 1993 nt
Organism: Cryptomeria japonica (Japanese cedar)
Lineage: Eukaryota; Viridiplantae; Streptophyta; Pinopsida; Cupressales; Cupressaceae
Exons: 9
Source: RefSeq, a predicted model, not a curated record